CCUACGGGAGGCAGCAGUGGGGAAUAUUGGGCAAUGGGCGCAAGCCUGACCCAGCAACGCCGCGUGAAGGAAGAAGGCUUUCGGGUUGUAAACUUCUUUUAAGAGGGAAGAGCAGAAGACGGUACCUCUUGAAUAAGCCACGGCUAACUACGUGCCAGCAGCCGCGGUAAUACGUAGGUGGCAAGCGUUGUCCGGAUUUACUGGGUGUAAAGGGCGUGCAGCCGGGAAGACAAGUCAGAUGUGAAAUCCACGGGCUCAAACCCGGAACUGCAUUUGAAACUGUUUCUCUUGAGUGUUGGAGAGGUAAGCGGAAUUCCUAGUGUAGCGGUGAAAUGCGUAGAUAUUAGGAAGAACACCAGUGGCGAAGGCGGACUACUGGACGGUAACUGACGGUGAGGCGCGAAAGCGUGGGGAGCAAACAGGAUUAGAUACCCCGGUAGUC
Molecule: ribosomal RNA, 442 nt
Filed under: uncultured bacterium
Lineage: Bacteria
Description: partial 16S ribosomal RNA
Rfam family: Bacterial small subunit ribosomal RNA
Source: RNAcentral